AGCCUUUAGUACUCGCUCAACACAUUAUAGACACCAGAAAAGUCAUUCUGGAGAAAAACCAUACAAGUGUGAAGAAUGUACCAAAGUAUUUUCCUACCCUUCAUUGCUUAAGGUACAUCAAAGAACUCAUUCUACAGAUAAAUCUUACAAGUGUGAAGAAUGUGGGAAACUAUUUUACUGUCCUUUAUUGCUUAAGAAGCAUCAAGUAAUUCAUUCUGCAGAGAAACCCUACAAGUGUACAGAAUGCAGCAAAGCAUUUCACUACCCUUCAUUGCUUAAGUGACAUCAAAAAAUCCAUGCUGGAAAGAAACCCUAUAAGUGUAAAAACUGCGACAGGGCAUUUUAUUCUUCUGCAUUCCUUAAGCACCAUCAAAGAAUUCAUUUUGAAGAGAAUUCCUACAAGUGUGGAGAAUGUGGCAAAA
This 422-nucleotide long non-coding RNA is filed under the name Rattus norvegicus (Norway rat). RNAcentral describes it as "long non-coding RNA NONRATT002079". The record is from RNAcentral. Lineage: Eukaryota; Metazoa; Chordata; Mammalia; Rodentia; Muridae.